AACGAACGCUGGCGGCAGGCCUAACACAUGCAAGUCGAGCGCCCCGCAAGGGGAGCGGCUGACGGGUGAGUAACACGUGGGAACGUGCCCGAAGGUACGGAACAACUCCGGGAAACUGGAGCUAAUACCGUAUGUGACCGAGAGGUGAAAGAUCUAUCGCCUUCGGAGCGGCCCGCGUCUGCUUAGGUAGCUGGUGGGGGAAUGGCCUACCAAGCCUAGGAUCAGUAGCUGGUCUGAGGGGUGCAUCAGCCACACUGAGACUGAGACACGGCCCAGACUGCUACGGGAGGCAGCAGUGGGGAAUGUUGGCCCAUGGGAGCAAGCCUGAUACAGCCAUGCCGCGUGGAUGAUGAAGACCCUAGGGUUGUAAAAUCCUUUCGUCAGGGACGAUAAUGGUGGUACCUGAAGAAGAAGCCCCGGCUAACUUCGUGCCAGCCGCCGCGGUAC
Molecule: ribosomal RNA, 447 nt
Filed under: uncultured bacterium
Lineage: Bacteria
Description: partial 16S ribosomal RNA
Rfam family: Bacterial small subunit ribosomal RNA
Source: RNAcentral